AUUUCCAGACAAUUGUCUAACAGGAAGAGGAUCAUAAAAUCCUAAGAUUGGCUAAUCAACCUCCCUGUUCUACAGAUGAAGAAACUCACACUCCCAGGACAAGUGACCUCUCAGGACCACACAGAAAGAGAGUUGAUGUAAUAAUUGUACUCUGUGGCUACAUGGGUGUGAACCAGAACGAGGCAGAAGGGAUCUAUUUUUCUAUUUAGUGCCAAUGAGCCCCCAUGGAUCUAUGCAGGGGCAGGGUGCUUUGUGCAGAUGAAGGUCGUGCCAGACAUGGUAAUGAAGGCCCUGAACAGAGGGAGAACCAUCAGGGACUGCUGUGUGAGCAAAGCGUGGACUUUCAUCCUGAAAAAUGAGUGCAUCCGUAACAACAUCCUCAAACAUAGACGGCUCUGAUUAGCGCUCCAGGAGCCCUCUCUCUAAAAACAUCUGAAAAUGCCUCCUUCUUCCCGGGGCUCACACGAAUGGGCUGCUGCAUUACCUAAUAGCCACCCAUGGCUUCACGAGGAGGGAUGCUCACAGCCCCCUGCAGAGCAGCCGCCUUGUUCCAGCGCCACAGGGAAGCGUCUGCCUUGACUUCCACCCACGCAGUGUCCGCUUCCACACAAUCACCCUGAACGGCAAAGGCUAAACACUUUGGUAAUC
This 648-nucleotide long non-coding RNA is filed under the name Homo sapiens (human). RNAcentral's name for it is "HSALNT0351937". Lineage: Eukaryota; Metazoa; Chordata; Mammalia; Primates; Hominidae. The record is from RNAcentral.